RNAcentral lists this unclassified non-coding RNA (328 nucleotides) under uncultured fungus. Its description in RNAcentral is "partial contains 5.8S ribosomal RNA and internal transcribed spacer 2". The stretch from base 1 to 133 matches the Rfam family "5.8S ribosomal RNA", at positions 22 to 154 of the family's 154-position model. The record is from RNAcentral. Lineage: Eukaryota; Fungi.
UGGCUCUGGCAUCGAUGAAGAACGCAGCGAAAUGCGAUAAGUAAUGUGAAUUGCAGAAUUCAGUGAAUCAUCGAAUCUUUGAACGCACAUUGCGCCCGCCAGUAUUCUGGCGGGCAUGCCUGUUCGAGCGUCAUUUCAACCCUCAAGCCCCCCGUGGCUUGGUGCUGGGGAUCGGCCGUCACUGGCCGGCCCCGAAAUCGAGUGGCGGUCUCGCUGUAGCCUCCUCUGCGUAGUAGCAACACCUCGCACUGGAACGCGGCGCGGCCACGCCGUAAAAACCCCCAACUUCUGAAAGGUUGACCUCGGAUCAGGUAGGAAUACCCGCUGA